UAGGGAAUAUUGGUCAAUGGGUGAGAGCCUGAACCAGCCAUGCCGCGUGCAGGAAGAAGGCCUUCUGGGUUGUAAACUGCUUUUGCCGGGGGAUAAAAGACCCUUGCGAGGGAAAUUGAAGGUACCUGGUGAAUAAGCCACGGCUAACUACGUGCCAGCAGCCGCGGUAAUACGUAGGUGGCAAGCGUUGUCCGGAUUUAUUGGGUUUAAAGGGUGCGUAGGCGGUUGAUUAAGUCAGUUGUGAAAUACGGCAGCUUAACUGUCGAGGUGCAAUUGAUACUGGUUGACUUGAGUACAGACGAGGUAGGCGGAAUUGACGGUGUAGCGGUGAAAUGCAUAGAUAUCGUCAAGAACACCGAUAGCGAAGGCAGCUUACUAGACUGUAACUGACGCUGAGGCACGAAAGUGUGGGGAUCAAACAGGAUUAGAUACCCCCGUAGUCC
Molecule: ribosomal RNA, 443 nt
Filed under: uncultured bacterium
Lineage: Bacteria
Description: bacterial SSU rRNA
Rfam family: Bacterial small subunit ribosomal RNA
Source: RNAcentral